This 201-nucleotide long non-coding RNA is filed under the name Elaeis guineensis (African oil palm). RNAcentral describes it as "long non-coding RNA (EGUI_LNC052859)". Lineage: Eukaryota; Viridiplantae; Streptophyta; Magnoliopsida; Arecales; Arecaceae. The record is from RNAcentral.
UAUUGACCUCACCCUAAUCAAUAUUUGACUUAGUUUGAUCAACUACUAAAUCAAUUCAAGCCCAAUAUGAUCAAAUCAGAAAAUCUUUGAUGUAAUCCAAUUACAGAACCUAAUUUGAUCUACCCAUGACCAAUCCGUCAUGCACAAACACUAAUUUUAGAUCUUAAAUCAAAAUUUUCAUAUCUAAAUUCUUUAUAUGAA